Molecule: transfer RNA, 73 nt
Filed under: Candidatus Staskawiczbacteria bacterium CG10_big_fil_rev_8_21_14_0_10_38_10
Lineage: Bacteria; Candidatus Staskawicziibacteriota
Description: tRNA-Val
Rfam family: tRNA
About the family: Transfer RNA (tRNA) molecules are approximately 80 nucleotides in length. Their secondary structure includes four short double-helical elements and three loops (D, anti-codon, and T loops). Further hydrogen bonds mediate the characteristic L-shaped molecular structure. tRNAs have two regions of fundamental functional importance: the anti-codon, which is responsible for specific mRNA codon recognition, and the 3' end, to which the tRNAs corresponding amino acid is attached (by aminoacyl-tRNA synthetases). tRNAs cope with the degeneracy of the genetic code in two manners: having more than one tRNA (with a specific anti-codon) for a particular amino acid; and 'wobble' base-pairing, i.e. permitting non-standard base-pairing at the 3rd anti-codon position.
Source: RNAcentral
GGGCGGUUAGCUCAGGAGUUAGAGUGCGUCGUUGACAUCGACGAGGUCAUAGGUGCGAAUCCUAUACCGCCCA